This 448-nucleotide ribosomal RNA is filed under the name uncultured bacterium. RNAcentral describes it as "bacterial SSU rRNA". It matches the Rfam family "Bacterial small subunit ribosomal RNA", at positions 28 to 473 of the family's 1533-position model. The record is from RNAcentral.
GAUGAACGCUGGCGGCGUGCCUAAUACAUGCAAGUCGAACGCUUCACUUCGGUGAAGAGUGGCGAACGGGUGAGUAAUACAUAAGUAACCUGGCAUCUACAGGGGGAUAACUGAUGGAAACGUCAGCUAAGACCGCAUAGGUGUAGAGAUCGCAUGAACUCUAUAUGAAAAGUGCUACGGGACUGGUAGAUGAUGGACUUAUGGCGCAUUAGCUGGUUGGUAGGGUAACGGCCUACCAAGGCGACGAUGCGUAGCCGACCUGAGAGGGUGACCGGCCACACUGGGACUGAGACACGGCCCAGACUCCUACGGGAGGCAGCAGUAGGGAAUUUUCGGCAAUGGGGGAAACCCUGACCGAGCAACGCCGCGUGAAGGAAGAAGUAAUUCGUUAUGUAAACUUCUGUCAUAGAGGAAGAACGGUGGAUAUAGGGAAUGAUAUCCAAGUGAC